AAGCAAUACACGUCUGCAGCGAUCUGCACGCAUUCAUACAUUUCAUAAUCAGCAUCUCUGUGACGAUCCAAUACAUUCCUACGCUGGAUCACUUGGUGGCGCUCUGAAAUGACGUAACGGAAAUGAUGUAUUUUACCAACAAACGGGAAGGACCAUAUACGGGCGGCACAAAGACGUUCAACACCAUCACCACCUCUAAUUCCUCUCCUCCAAGCUUCUCCAGCUCAGCAUCUCGCCUGCCAUCUGCCGGUGGAUUUACAGCUUCCUGAUGGGCAGGACACAGCAGGAAGCGGAGCGGCUGGAGCUGUGGUGCGGCCGACACAACCUGGCGCUGAACAAACCUGUGUUUAUCCAUCGCAGUCUGGUUUGGUGCUGCCACAAAAAAGGACAAACUCCAACUGCAACGGACAAUCAAAACUGCUGAAAAGCUUGUCGGUGCCCCCCUACGCACCCUUGAGGACUUGCUCGCUGCCAGAACGAAGACGAGAGCAUGCAAAAUCCUCUUGGACCCUCCACAUCCUGGUCACCAGCUCUUCUAGCUCCUUCCCUCAGGUAGGCGCUAUCGAACAUCCAUCCAUCCAUCCGCUUAUCCUCACUAGGGUCGUGGGGAUGCUGGAGCCUAUCCCAGCUUUCUUUGGAUGAGCAGCGGGGUACACCCUGAACUGGUCGCCAGCCAAUCACAGGGCACACAUAAAUAAACAACCAUUUGCACUCACAUUCACACCUAUGGGCAAUUUAGAGUCUUCAGUCAACCUAUCACGCAUGUUUUGGGGAUGUGGGAGGAUACCGGAGUACCCGGAGAAAACCCACGCAGGCACGGGGAGAACAUGCAAGCUAAAACCAUCACAUAUUGCUUCCCUCUUGCCAUUAACGUCUUAAACUGUUAACUUACAAUUAAUUCUAGUGUAACAUGCUGGCAAUUUUUGUCUUGUCAAUUAUACAUUAUUCGUGCACUCACUAUAGUAGUCUCGCCGCUCUGCACUAUUUGCAUAUCUGUUGUUGACCAAUACUUGCCCCUCAUGUGCUUGAGAAGUAUCUGCACCAUUUGCACAAUUGUCACUGUACCAGAUUAUUGCUCUAUUAGUCAUUUCAAACUGCUAUGAAUUGCUAGAGGUCUCUGCAUCAUUUGCACAACUCCCAAAAAAAAAUUAUAAUAUAGUAUCAGCAUUGCUCAGUAACUCUCUGUACUGUGUUUUAUGUUUAUGUUUUUUUUUUAUGUCAAAUGGCUGUCUGUUGUUGUACUAGAGCGGCUCCAAUUUAUGGAGACAAAUCCAUUGUGUUUUUCUGACAUACUUGGCAAAUAAAGAUGAUUCUGAUAUACA
Molecule: long non-coding RNA, 1322 nt
Organism: Phyllopteryx taeniolatus (common seadragon)
Lineage: Eukaryota; Metazoa; Chordata; Actinopteri; Syngnathiformes; Syngnathidae
Exons: 3
Source: RefSeq, a predicted model, not a curated record